CCCAGUGGUUAGUCAGCCGCCCGGGCUCCCGUGCCCGGCUCGGCGUUACGUCGCUGGGAGAGCAACGGCCCCCCAAGGCUCCCCCGCUGCCUCUCGUCGUCUUGACGCGGGGGCAGUGGGGGGCAGGGGGGCGGGGCCUGCUCGAGAGUGGGCGGGGCUCGCGCCGUCGGCCCCGCCCUAGUCAGCGCGCCUACAAA
Molecule: small nucleolar RNA, 197 nt
Organism: Lethenteron reissneri (Far Eastern brook lamprey)
Lineage: Eukaryota; Metazoa; Chordata; Hyperoartia; Petromyzontiformes; Petromyzontidae
Product: small nucleolar RNA SNORA74
Source: RefSeq, a predicted model, not a curated record